Molecule: RNA transcript, 3163 nt
Organism: Drosophila mojavensis
Lineage: Eukaryota; Metazoa; Arthropoda; Insecta; Diptera; Drosophilidae
Exons: 5
Source: RefSeq, a predicted model, not a curated record
AACAUAAUUAGCUGCAAAUUUUCUGUAGCUGAAACGAUAGUCGAUUAUGCAGCACUGUUAUUAAUUGAAUUCCAAGACAACGAAAGAGUGCCCAAAAAAGAAGUGGGCACGCAAAAAAAAAAAAAAAAAAAGCAAACUGUACUUUGAGCAAAGGAAACAAAUAGAAUAUGAAAUCAAGUACAACAAGAGAAAACGCAAAGCCAAAAAUUACGCUAUUCCCUUUUCUAUUGAAACUGCGUAAAUUUAGUUGCCAUUAUUGAAUCGAUGCGUGCGUGCGCGUAUUAUUAUUAUUUUAAUUUUUUUGCGUUUAAUGUUGGAUCAAUUACCUUUUAUGCAUCUUAAAUUGUUGCUUUAUACAUUUAAAAUGAUUCAAUUAAAUAAUAUUAAAGAAUGCGAUCAAUGUGGUUAUAAAUUAAUGACAAUGUAAUUUAAAAAAAAAAAAAAAAAAUAUAUGUAGUGCUUUGAGCUCAAUAAUUGAAGAAAGUCAUUGUUCUUAUUAAAUUAAAAAAAGAAUGGUUUUCAUUUAUAUAAAUAUAUACCCACAUACAUUUAUACAUGCAUAUGUGUGUAUGUACAUAUGUUCAUUUAUACUCAAAUCUGUUGAAUUUCGCGUUGGAAGAGCUAAAAAGGAAGAAACUGUUAUACAUACACACACACAUAUACGCUUGAGAGGAACAGCUCAGCUUAAAUACCGACACCAAUACUAUGCCAACAUGUAGUUUCGGGCCAAUUGAUGCUGGGAAAAUGGCAAAAUCGUGAACGCUUUGUAAGGCACCGAUGACUGCGUCUGCGUCAAGCGUUUCAUCUGACGACUCUUACGACCAUUUAAUGACCUACAUUCAGAAGAGGGCAUGCAAAUUAAAACGAAUGAAGAAGAAGAAGAAGAAGAAGCCGAGAUUUACAUAUUUAUUGCUAUUAUUGCUCACCUCCAAUGCGGACAAUCACUCGCUCUGCUCCACAAAAUUUAUAUAGAAUCUAUUUAUAAAAAUAUUCAGGACUAUUCUUGGAAGAAACUCAAUCAAAUCAAUGUCUGUCUACUCAAGUUUGUGUCAACGACAGCCGACAGGUGGCGCAUAUCAAUUAUCAAUUUGCAAUUUUCCAAUCAACAAGCAACAAAAAAAAUGUAUAAAAUAAAAAAACAACACACACACACACAGAAUAUGAAAUGGUAAGUAAAACAAGUUUUGUGGCAUUUAAUUUAUAUGAAAAUGGACUUGGCCCGGACAUCUUGAAGAAGGCCUAGACAUUGGUCGCAUCAGCUUGCCGGCGGCUUAAUGAAAACUUGGCGCCUGCUGCAGAAACAUACGCACCCCUCCCCCUCCACCCCACCUCUCCCGUCGAUGGGCCGCUUAAUGCUGUCGUCAAGUGUAUUAAAUUGAAAAUUUAAUUAAAGAAGUUUGCGCCGGUUGCGUCUUGGCCAAGAGUAACACAGCUGUCUGGCUGGCAUCAAAUUAGCCAAACACAAAAGCUUAUUGAACUCAAGAGCAACAUUUGUGGCCCAACAGAUUCAUGGUCGACAAAAACAACGAAACGAAGCAAAAAUGGAUUUAAAAAAAAAAAGUAAACUGAAAUCAACGCAAAUCGCUGUCAAUAAUGGCCAAAAAGAAAAACCGGACGGUUGUGCCAACAGAGCAAAACAGCAAAAGCCAAAAAGGCUUAAUUUGUAGCCAAGUUAAGUUAUAUUCACACGCUUUUUGAUACCAAUUGCAAACAAUUGCCCUGCGUCAACACGUCCGCCACAGUCCCAGCAACGCCCCCCUCCCCCAGCUCCAGCCGCAGUCACGCUUAGGCAGUUUUGUCAAAAUACAAAAAUUGGCCAAAAGGCAGGCGACAAAGCGGCUAAGAAAACAACAGCAGAAAGAAAUAAAAUAAUACAGACACACAGAGACAGACAAGGCUGUUGGCAGCUAAUAAUGAAACUAAGUUGGUAAUAAAGCUGGCCUAAACCAAGCAAGCGACUUGGGUGUGUUUUAUAUGAUGUUUGCCUAUCAAGGACUGAUUGUACAGCCGAGAGUCAUUUUGAGAGCACUGAACGACUGGAAGAUGCCGUAAAUAUGCUUGCUUUUGCCUUGGCUGGGAUCAUUGGGUGUUUAUGAUGCCACCAGGUUCAACAUGCCACUUGGGUUAAUUUCGAGCUUUGACCGGGGCAGGGCUGGGCCUGGGUCCGGGUCUGACCACAAAGCUGAGUGGCAGCAGAAGACGCACAAGUUGCAUGCAAAUAAUUACCCAAAGGAAAUCCAGCAACAAGUCUCAAUGCGUUGCGAGUCGAGGCAAGUCGUGUAGACGACAAUGGAAAUGAGCCAUGCGUUGUUAUUGUUCAGAUUUAACAUUUCCUGCAUAUGCCAUACACACACACGCACGCACACAUACACGCACACAUAUGCAGAGCAAGAACUGAGUGAAAUCUGUCAAAAUAAACCAACUGCGACUGCGUCUACAACAUUUGGGAAACUACAGCUACAGCCUUUAGUUUUCUAACUUUUCAGUUUCCAUUUUCAGUUUUCCCGUCUUCCGUUUGCUGUUUUCAGUUUCAACUGCCCCACAUCAGCUCUGCUUGCUGUUGACAUGUGUAAUUAUGCUUAAUUACGUCAUGAGAACCAACCAAAUCUCGACAGCGCAGAACACACACAGCGAGAGAGGGCCAAGACGAGGGUUAACCCAAAAGUUGACCAGCUUAUUGUGGCUGGAAGAUUGUGUUUUCUUAUGAAAUGUGUGAGCUUAAUUUAGACUUUUUUUUACUCUUUUUCAUUUUUGUUCAUAUGUGAAGGCUAACAGAUUCACAGAUUCCUUUCCGAUGACUUGAAAAUUCCAAUUGGUUGUCUCACGCGCUUUUUGCCCAGCUUGACACAUUUUGGUCAGCUUGGCUUUCUCUUGUAGAGAAUUUUAAAAAUUGCUAAGCUUAAAUCGAAUUAUUUUUUAAAAACAAAUAUAAUUGAAAUGUUGACUUAAAUCUAUCAGAUAUUGCAAUCAAUUUAUUUCGAAAGGUAUUUAGUAGUAAAUUAUUGGCAAUACCAUCCUAAUUAAUUGAAUAAAGAGAAAGAGGAGAAAGAAAAUAAACAAAUGUAUUUUCUAAAUGAAAUUAAUUAAAUUAUGAAGGAAAAAUUAGAGCUUCAGCUUAGUGAAUAAAUAUAUAUUUGCUUUAAAAUUAAUGCUAUAAAUUAAA